This 456-nucleotide ribosomal RNA is filed under the name uncultured Anaplasma sp. Its description in RNAcentral is "bacterial SSU rRNA". It matches the Rfam family "Bacterial small subunit ribosomal RNA", at positions 19 to 503 of the family's 1533-position model. Lineage: Bacteria; Pseudomonadati; Pseudomonadota; Alphaproteobacteria; Rickettsiales; Anaplasmataceae. The record is from RNAcentral.
CUGGCUCAGAACGAACGCUGGCGGCAAGCUUAACACAUGCAAGUCGAACGGAUUUUUGUCGUAGCUUGCUAUGAUAAAAAUUAGUGGCAGACGGGUGAGUAAUGCAUAGGAAUCUACCUAGUAGUAUGGGAUAGCCACUAGAAAUGGUGGGUAAUACUGUAUAAUCCCUGCGGGGGAAAGAUUUAUCGCUAUUAGAUGAGCCUAUGUUAGAUUAGCUAGUUGGUAGGGUAAAGGCCUACCAAGGCAGUGAUCUAUAGCUGGUCUGAGAGGAUGAUCAGCCACACUGGAACUGAGAUACGGUCCAGACUCCUACGGGAGGCAGCAGUGGGGAAUAUUGGACAAUGGGCGCAAGCCUGAUCCAGCUAUGCCGCGUGAGUGAGGAAGGCCUUAGGGUUGUAAAACUCUUUCAGUGGGGAAGAUAAUGACGGUACCCACAGAAGAAGUCCCGGCAAACUC